AGGACGAACGCUGGCGGCGUGCUUAACACAUGCAAGUCGAGCGACGCACCACUUCGGUGGUGACGGAGCGGCGAACGGGUGAGUAACACGUGGGCAACCUGCCCCUAGCUCUGGGACAACACCGGGGAAACCGGUGCUAAUACCGGAUACGACACCGAGCGGCAUCGCUUCGGUGUGGAAAGUUUUUCGGCUAGGGAUGGGCCCGCGGCCUAUCAGCUUGUUGGUGGGGUAAUGGCCCACCGAAGGCGACGACGGGUAGCCGGCCUGAGGACGGGCGACCGGCCACGACGUGGGACUGGAGACGACGGCCCAGUACUCCGUACGGGAGCAGCGAGGUGGGAAUAUUGCGUGAAGUGGGACGAAAGCGUGAACGCAGGCGACCGUCGCGUGAGGAGUAGAAGGUCCGUUCGGGUACUUAACCUCUUACGAGGCGUAGGGAACG
This 442-nucleotide ribosomal RNA is filed under the name uncultured soil bacterium. RNAcentral describes it as "bacterial SSU rRNA". It matches the Rfam family "Bacterial small subunit ribosomal RNA", at positions 26 to 452 of the family's 1533-position model. The record is from RNAcentral.